RNAcentral lists this long non-coding RNA (542 nucleotides) under Ananas comosus (pineapple). RNAcentral's name for it is "long non-coding RNA (ACOM_LNC029664)". The record is from RNAcentral. Lineage: Eukaryota; Viridiplantae; Streptophyta; Magnoliopsida; Poales; Bromeliaceae.
GGGUAAGGAGACUUUUAUGCUCCUAAGCCAUUUUCGAUGAUAGAGCUUCUAAAUCGACAAUUGGUUCUGUUAAACUUGAUUUAGCGUAUUUGAAGUAUCUAGAAAAUAAAUUUUACGAUUUUUUAAUAUUAUUUACCUAGCAAUCGAAAGAGUUCAAAAUCAACGGCUGAAAAUAAAAAUCUCGCAAAAAGUAAUGAUAUAGCACUAAAAUUUUUUAUCAGAGAUAUUGAUCUUUCAGUAAAUAAUAUAAAAAUUUUUUUAUCAAAAUUUCAUCUGAUUUGAAUACUUUCUCACCAUAAAACUUACGAACGGCAUACAUCAACCAUUAAAAAUUGUUGAUUUUGAAUCAUUUCGAUUCUUAGGUAAAUGAUAAUCGAAAAUCUACAAAAAUUAUUGUUUAAAUAUUUCAAAUACGCUAAAUCAAGUCUAAUGGAGCUAAUCAUCGAUUCGAAAGUACCAUCAUCGAAAACGGUUUAGGAGCACGAAAACCUCCGUGUUCCUAACAGCACACAAGUCCUACUCUAAUUGUUCAAUCUAGUUUU